GAUGAACGCUGGCGGCGUGCUUAACACAUGCAAGUCGAACGAUGAAGCCCAGCUUGCUGGGUGGAUUAGUGGCGAACGGGUGAGUAACACGUGAGUAACCUGCCCUUAACUCUGGGAUAAGCCUGGGAAACUGGGUCUAAUACCGGAUAGGAGCGUCCACCGCAUGGUGGGUGUUGGAAAGAUUUAUCGGUUUUGGAUGGACUCGCGGCCUAUCAGCUUGUUGGUGAGGUAAUGGCUCACCAAGGCGACGACGGGUAGCCGGCCUGAGAGGGUGACCGGCCCCACGGGGCCGGAAACCGGGCCCAGCCCCCGCCGGGGGCCAGGAGGGGGGAAUUUUGCACAGGGGGCGCAAGCUGGACGCAGCGCCCCGGGGGGGGGGAGGACGCCCUUCGGGUUGUACCCCUCUUUCAGGGGGAAAGAAGGGAAAGGGAGGGUACCUGAAGAAGAAGCACGGGCUAACUAGGUC
Molecule: ribosomal RNA, 466 nt
Filed under: uncultured bacterium
Lineage: Bacteria
Description: partial 16S ribosomal RNA
Rfam family: Bacterial small subunit ribosomal RNA
Source: RNAcentral